UACGUAGGGAGCGAGCGUUGUCCGGAUUCAUUGGGCGUAAAGAGCUCGUAGGCGGCUUGGCAAGUCGGGUGUGAAAACUCCAGGCUCAACCUGGAGACGCCACCCGAUACUGCCAUGGCUAGAGUCCGGUAGGGGACCACGGAAUUCCUGGUGUAGCGGUGAAAUGCGCAGAUAUCAGGAGGAACACCGGUGGCGAAGGCGGUGGUCUGGGCCGGAACUGACACUGAGGAGCGAAAGCGUGGGGAGCGAACAGG
Molecule: ribosomal RNA, 254 nt
Filed under: uncultured bacterium
Lineage: Bacteria
Description: partial 16S ribosomal RNA
Rfam family: Bacterial small subunit ribosomal RNA
Source: RNAcentral